This 246-nucleotide ribosomal RNA is filed under the name uncultured bacterium. Its description in RNAcentral is "partial 16S ribosomal RNA". It matches the Rfam family "Bacterial small subunit ribosomal RNA", at positions 15 to 263 of the family's 1533-position model. The record is from RNAcentral.
GAUCAUGGCUCAGAUUGAACGCUGGCGGCAGGCUUAACACAUGCAAGUCUAGCGGGGAAAGGUAGCUUGCUACCUAACCUAGCGGCGGACGGGUGAGUAAUGCUUAGGAAUCUGCCUAUUAGUGGGGGACAACAUCUCGAAAGGGAUGCUAAUACCGCAUACGUCCUACGGGAGAAAGCAGGGGAUCUUCGGACCUUGCGCUAAUAGAUGAGCCUAAGUCGGAUUAGCUAGUUGGUGGGGUAAAGG